This 345-nucleotide long non-coding RNA is filed under the name Setaria viridis. Its description in RNAcentral is "long non-coding RNA (SVIR_LNC001860)". The record is from RNAcentral. Lineage: Eukaryota; Viridiplantae; Streptophyta; Magnoliopsida; Poales; Poaceae.
UAUGAUGUUAUAAUAAAUUCGUCAUGAUUAACAAAUUUAGAAUUAUCAUACCACAAGGGGGGCAAAUAUAAUUUUUGAAAAAAAACCAGGAGAAACGAAAAUAAAAGAGAAAAUAUAAUAUUUGAAAUCGAAAAUAGGGGAAAAAAUGUUAAAAAAUGGGUUCGAACCUGGAACCUAAAAUGGAAAAAUCGGAAAAAAUAGAGAAAAACAUGCUAAAUCUAGGAAUUGAUUGUGGAACCUCCUAGCUAGAAACCACCACACCUACCAUUGAGCUACAUGUUCUUUGGUUUUUAUUUGUGGUUUUUAAUAGUUUUGAACAUGCUUAUGUGGCAACCCUUGCGCAGG